GCACGCUCCCUGGACCCGAGUCAGCCCCGGCUGUUUCUAAUGAGAAGCACUAAUUAGCGUGCCGAUUGGCAGGCCUGCCUUCCCACCGUCCAUCUCAACUUCUCAGCGAGUCCCAGACCUGCCCAGACUGCAUCUGCAAGCGUGGUCAAGCUCCCACCUGACUAGGGUACCCAUAGGUAAUAAUGCUUGGGUGAGGUCACCAGGGAGUCUGCAAGCCUCGUCAAAGCCCCACCCACUUGGGAGACCCAGGCCUGAGGAUGCUUAGACAGGGUCCCGAUGCCUGACAGCUCCCUGCGGGGCACAGGAAACUGCGGGAAAUUGGAGUCUGAAGGGUCACUCUGUAAUGGUGGGCGCUCAUCCAGUGUCCCGUCAGGACCUCCUAGCCCUCACUGGGUCGCCGCAUUGCCUUUGUUUUCUUCCCUAUUCUCCUGUCCCUGGAAUCAAACCCUAACAUUGACUUGUGAAUGAGGACGCCAGCUGAUCCAUAUCCCCGACCUCACCCCUUCCUAGCUGUCGUUUAGCAAUAACUGAGUCACCAGGAGCCAAUUGGUCUGGCAAGAAGAGCAAGGACAACACAGGACGACUCAGAUCCUCUCCUUCCUUGAGCCCAUCCGUCUACUCCAUCUUAAGACUGGACUGAGUCUCGGAUCCUAAGUACGUGAGAAGAGCCUCGUGGGCUGUGGUUCAGCCUCACUGGUGUCGCUGGCCAUCACUCUAGCAGCGGGAGCCAGCUGGACCCCUCUUUGAUCUAAUGGAAUGAAUACCAUCGUGCAUCAGAGAUGCUGCGGGCCCAUCUACUGUAUCAUUCUGGCGAAGUACACGGGGAUGGAGGAAGACAAGAGGUCAAGGAAAUAUGGUGAGACUGCAUAGAGGGGUCUUGCCACGACAGCUUGGGGGCUUUACCGUAUUCCUGGACACCUGUUCCCCAGGUCCCCCGUGCUGUUCUCCUCCUGAAACUCCCAUGGAGCUCUCCUCUCUGCUCUCACGUGAGUUUGACAGAGCAGACCAGACACUUAGUGUUUCUGAGAUCAAACCCCAGCUGAGCUAAGUUGUGAGCCAGCAGGAAAAUGUACCAGAUUUCUCAUCCCAGAGGCCAUCUCCCUGUCCCCUAGGAUCCCACAGAAGCGACACCUCCGUGGUCUACAGUUGUUACCUGCUUGAUUUCCUUUCCUUCCCCCACCCCCUAUGUGUGCUUCCUGGGCUCAUCAACCAAAUUAACCAUCAUCUCCAACACUGGUUUUGAUGCCAGCUUCUGGGAGGACCCAAGCUAACAUGGUCCUUAGGCAGUAAGGAAGGGCUCAUCAGUCUCUGUGAAUCUUGUCCAGUUCAUUAUUUUCUUGACAAGUGCUCUAAUCCAUUUCUGUAUCUGGAGCCUAUCUAUCCAUCAUCACCUGUCAAUAUACCCACCAGUCUGAUUAUUAUCUGGAUCUGUCUACCUUUCUGUCUGUGUGUCUAUCAUCUAAAAAUCAUCUAUCCUAGCAUCUACAUCUAUCUAUCUAUCUAUCUAUCUAUCUAUCUAUCUAUCUAUCUAUCUAUCUCAUGUCUAUCGAUCUAUCAAUUUAUCAUCUAUUUACCUACCUACCAAGAUGGAGGAUAAGUUAGUACACUUCUGGCUAAGAUCAUCACUGUGCAACCUGGAUUUUCUCCCUAGUGUGUGUGUGUGUGUGUGUGUGUGUGUGUGUGUGUAUGUAUUUGUGUGUAUGCAUGCACUCAUACACUCACAGGUAGGCAGGCUGUAGCUAGCCCUCAGCUAACACUAAGACCCGAGGGGAUCCAGAAUAGGCAUUAAUAGUAUGGGAGAGGAGGCUAAGCAUGGCCUGGACUAUGGGCCAUGGUCAGUCCGCUGUCAUUUUCAAGGAUGGCAGAAAGAGAUAUGAGCAGGUCAUAGCUGAGCAGAGCAUGGUAAUGCCCCGGCUCAGAGCCUGCGAACCUAUCUCCUCGCCUUGCCCGGCUGAGUCUUUUGUUACUUUUGGGAUUGGCAGUGGUGGCUUCACUAUCUCUAAAGAAAACAUCCCUGCUUCCCUCUUGACAGCGUGUCAACAUGACAAUUGUCUGGUCUUGGCACAGAUGUUCACGGUGCCUUGGAAACAGAAUGGUACUGCGAGCCACCCCUGCCCUGCUGCUGGGUUUGGGGAACUCUGAAGCCCCUUGUUUCGGGUGCUACAUUGAGCAGUUUGGAUGAUACACCGUCCUGAGAAAGCAGUGUCCUGUUCAGUCCACAGGGUGUUGAGUGUCCAGGUCUUUGGUCCUUUGCACCUUCUGUUUUAUGCUCUUCGGUGCAGAGUUCCCUUGAUGAUAGGCAUCCAGUAGCUCUCAUAAUGUCAGUCUCUUUCUGUGCCCCUCCCCUGAGCUCUCAGGGGACUGAGCCCUUCAGUCACCUCACUUUGGCCUUCUGACUUACUGUCGAGCUACUGACAUGCACCUGAAGAUGCUCAACCUGCCUUUCUCCUGCACUGCCUUUUCCAUUGAACACACCUGGUUCUUGUAUCGCCUUCCCUUCUAAGUCACACCCCCUCUGCUCCUGCUUACUCCCUCUCUGCACUGAUUCCUUGCCUCCUCAAUCCUGGGGCAGAUACUGGCCUCCCAAAGGACACCACCUUGCUAGCAGCAGCCGUGUUUGUGUAUCUGAGAGUGGUGCCUGUGUCAGGUUCUCCUGGCACUCUUGUGGGACGAGUUUCUGCUCAACGCCAUUGGCAUUUGUCUCCACGUACACAGGGUCAUUCAAGUUUUGCUCCUACCCACCUGGAAACCUGGAGGACGAGCAAGGGAGGUUUCACUCUAUUUCAGCUGUCGGGUGCUUCUGUCGUAGCUCAGUGUUUCUUGCCUUUGAGAGCUCUGUCGUCUCCGACUUAAGUGGCUCUCCUCCAAGGACAACUUGCUUGUCUAUUUCCAAGGCAUCCCAGGGAAGUUAGCUGAAGUAGCGAGAUGGCAUGGUGUUGGUAGUGGGCUGGGUUUUCUUCAAACUCAGGGUGAAAGCUGUGGCUCUGGGGUAUUGGGGCAAAUGUGACUGGAUGGAAAACCCUUGCACCCUAUUCUGCCUCUAUACCUUUCCAUUGCUUAUUAAUUUUUUAAAAAUUUCUCUCUGCACAGAGAGAAGGGCAGAUUUCCUGCAAUCCCACCCCUUUUCUGUAGAGUGUGCUCAGCCAGAUGCCAACAUUCAUUCCUUCCAGAAUCUGAACAAAAGAGGAGAGGCAGAUACUUCCACUCCUCUGCAGCCUCUACUAUUGUUCUUAUUUUGUCUCUUCAAGGUCCAGUGACAUCCAUACCAUGCCGCAGUCACCCGAGGACCUGCCUGAGACCCUCCCCUGGUGUUACCUUCCACAGUAAUCCCAUACUUGCCCUAGAAAGUAGUGCCAUCACCGUCUUCAUAUUACAUCAUACACAUUACAUCAUAUACAUCAUACACAUUACAUCAUAUACAUCAUACACAUUACAUCAUAUUACAUCAUACACAUUACAUCAUAUUACAUCAUACACAUUACAUCAUAUCUACUUCCUCAUCCCACUAGUGCUACGUAUGUUGGAUAGGACCUGUGCUAUGCAAUACAACAGACUCCUUCACAAUGGGGUGAAAGCUCUCUUUAUGAGUGUCAGGAUUAUUCCACAUGCUGCUACUUCCUUGAGCAGAGGCACUGUCUCUCAGUACCUUUCCAGAGAAAACCGAGAUCAGCUGACAUGGUGUGUAGUGUCCCUCUGGAUCUUACUUCCCACCUACCUCGUGUCUACACCUGGGCUCUUCUUUCUCACCUUUGCUCCCAUUUCUUACUUUCUCCACACCAGAAACAAAAUAAGUGUGUGAUAAUUUAUUCUGCCAAGUACUUAUCUGCCCCUUUACACGGUCUGUUUCUUAAAAUGUUAUCUUGACCUAGCUUUUCAGUCAAAAUCUAAUGUAAAAUUGUUACAAAGUCAGUUCAGCCUGGGCAAUGUGGAAUCUUAUUAACUUCUCCUGUAUGCUACAGGAGAGGAUGCAAUGCAACAACUGAGCCUUGAAAGAGACGUGCAGUCAGGUAGGAGGUUUAUGUUCAUAAACCCCUUGCCAAUCACACACAUGUCCCCACCUAAAGGAUCCACCAAUCGCAUAGAUCAACCAUCUUCCUCACGUGAAUGCCGUGUGUGUGUGUGUGUGUGUGUGUGUGUGUGUGCUGCAUUUGAGAAUGAGAAAGCCCCUUGACAUCCAGCACCAGCCACCCUCAGCUCAGAACAGUCUCACUGGUGCUUCAGUGCUGCCCAAUGCUCUCUCAUACAUUAAGCCCCUACGUCGUAAUCUGUGGUUCCAAUAACUGAAGGUGGAGCUCAGUGAUCAAAACUGAGUAAAAACCAAAUGCACAUAGAAUCCAAGGUCUUUCUGACAAUGGUUGCAUCAUGUGACUUCACACCAGGCUGGUUCUGAGCACAGGGCAGGACUCCUUGGCACCGGGCGUGCCUUGACAGCACACACCAGCAGCAGGUGCUGCAUGGGACACCUCGGUCCAGAUUUGAUAUCGCACAUGAGACAUUUUCUUUCCGUACAAACAUCAAUGUAAUGAAGGAAAACAAAGACUUUUAAUAAUUUUACUCCAUGUUUAUUCAUGUAAGUGUCAAAUCAGUAGACCUUGGGAUUCCACUGUGUUAGGAUGGUUGACUUUAACAGGUGCUUUUGAACUGCUGACUUGAAAUUUAGUGAAGCAUCAUUCAAUAAAAUUUGGCUUUGGGUUAGGACAGAAUUCCAACCAUUUCUGAAAUGGCCAGUGUUGGUUUGAAUGAAAAUGGUUUCCACAGACUCAUAUGUUUGAAGGCUUGGCUCCCAGCUGGUGGACUAUUUGGGAAGGAUUAGGAGGUGUGGCCUUGUUGGAGGAGGUGUCUCACUGAGGGUGGUACUUGAGAUUUCCAAAGAUUCGCUCCCUUGCCAGUCUUUUUUUCAUCCCCUCUCUGCCCCCGUCUACCAAUGAAGAUGUAAGCUCUCAGUUACUGCUCCAGCGCCAUGCUGCCCACCUUCUGCCAUGCUACUUGCAUUCCAUCCUCCCUGCAGGUGUUUGCUUAUUCAUUGCAAAGGGAUUUCAUGGGAUUUCUGUGGGCCGGGACAUUUUGUUGAUUCAAGGAGGAGGAAAGAGAGGCAAAGCAUCACUGUGCCAUCUUAGACCAAUUUUCUCUCUGAGAUUAUGUCCCAAAAUAUACUCCGAAUUAUAAUUAAUAAACAGCUAAAGAAAAAGCAUGAAAAGGCAUACUAUAUUGAUUGCUUAAAUGUAAGGCAAACACUCAUGUGGAGAAGAACAACAACAUCAAACCUGUUCUGCUCGGGAAACAAAGCAACCUGCUGCCAUUUAAACCGUAACUUCAAAAUGAGAGUCAUGAAUAUAGUAAAUGAUAAUUGUGUAAUAGCAAAGACAUAAAAGUAGAACGCACAGGGCAGCCUGUUUGAAAUGUUAUUAAAAUGCAUGCAUAUAUUAAAAAUAAAAUUAUACAUCAAAUUAUUACAGUUCAUUAUCUCUGGAAUAAAGGAAGAGGAUUUUAAUUGUUUUCUUUAUUGCUUUUGUAUGCAAAAGUUUAACAAUGAAAUUGCUAUAAUUUCUAAUAUCGUUAAAAAAAUAAGUCAUUAAAAACUUUCUACCAAUUCACGGAGCUUUUGAGAGGAUAAAUUAAAUUACAUUGUUGAAGUACUUACAAUUUGUGCAUAAGAACUA
Alexandromys fortis (reed vole) is the source of this 5660-nucleotide long non-coding RNA. RefSeq lists it as uncharacterized. NCBI's taxonomy places the organism in Eukaryota, Metazoa, Chordata, Mammalia, Rodentia, Cricetidae. The transcript has 4 exons. The record is from RefSeq and is a predicted model, not a curated record.